GUGUUACAUUGUGUUCGGGGGGAAUCGCUAUUUUAUACUUAACAAUACGCCAGAGAGAGUUAAAAUAAUUAUUUCAGAACAAAGACGUAAUGAUAUCUGCUGAAGAAGUAGUAAUGAUGUGAAAUUAAAUCAUAGUUGGAAACCCAGUCAUGUCGAUUGAAUUUUCACGAGGAAUGAAAUAAUAAGCGGGUGUCACGUGUCUUUGUACGUAUACCUGAAACUUUCUUGGGUGCAUUAUAGUUGGGCCAUUCACAAGGACUUUUGAAGACCCGGCGUUUUAUCUCGACUGUUUUUGUAACGAGCAGUGACCAAUUCAAAGAAUCGAGAAUAGGGCCCUGAGAACACUAUAGGUGGGAUCAGGUGUCUAGGAGGGGUAAACAUACCUUGUUGACCGGCCAUACCCACCGUAAUCCCUCUGUCUUGAUCAUGUAAAAGGAGUAAUCGAUAUUUAGAAUUAGUAGAGAACGGUCCAAGAAUUGGUAUGGAACACGCCAGAUGACAAUCGACCCAACGGCCCGCUGUGUUUAUAAAUUAGAUCAUCAUAACGACCAUGGAAUUUUGCAAAAUGCUGACCCUCAACGAGACAGUUGAAACCCCCGUAACAUUAACUUAUUUGUCAAAUAGAUGUCGUGGUGUAGAAACUGGUCAUACGCAGAUAUGCUAUCGCUUAUUAAGUCAGAUGGGAUACGUAAACACCAUAUGCAGGGUAUAAUGGAAUAUUCCAAUUACAUAUAUAUGGGAAAUUGACGAUGGGAAAGAUGAAGUCAUGCUGUUUGUCAUAAUGUUUAGUUGUUAGUUUGCUAUUAAUAUGUUCAUAAAGUAAAACAUUUGAAU
Molecule: long non-coding RNA, 834 nt
Organism: Ostrea edulis (European flat oyster)
Lineage: Eukaryota; Metazoa; Mollusca; Bivalvia; Ostreida; Ostreidae
Exons: 2
Source: RefSeq, a predicted model, not a curated record